CUUCAGAUAUGUUCUAGAAUGCCUAGAAAUUCUUCUAAGAAAGUCAAGGAGGCAUAGGAUACCAACGCUCCUGUUUCACAAUAUGCUACAUGUUUCUUUCUAGCUUUCUCACUCCAGUGCAGAAAUAAGUGCAUGCCCUCCAGGUGCCCCAGUCCAGCGAGCAUGAUAAAAAGCAGGUUAAAAACCCACACUUAUCCAUUUGGAGUGGAUAUAGCACAGGCUCAGUGAAAGCAAGAGAAAGAAGAGUUUUAAAAGAAGAUUUCUAAGGACAGAAAGU
Molecule: long non-coding RNA, 277 nt
Filed under: Macaca mulatta (Rhesus monkey)
Lineage: Eukaryota; Metazoa; Chordata; Mammalia; Primates; Cercopithecidae
Description: lncRNA (ENSMMUG00000059180.1)
Source: RNAcentral